AGAGUUUGAUCAUGGCUCAGGAUGAACGCUAGCUACAGGCUUAACACAUGCAAGUCGAGGGGCAGCAUUUUAGUUUGCUUGCAAACUAAAGAUGGCGACCGGCGCACGGGUGAGUAACACGUAUCCAACCUGCCGAUAACUCGGGGAUAGCCUUUCGAAAGAAAGAUUAAUAUCCGAUAGUAUAUUAAAACCGCAUGGUUUUACUAUUAAAGAAUUUCGGUAUCGAUGGGGAUGCGUUCCAUUAGUUGUUGGCGGGGUAACGCCACAAGACUACGAUGGAUAGGGGUUCUGAGAGGAAGGUCCCCCACAUUGGAACUGGAGACACGGUCCAAACGUCCUACGGGAGCA
This 348-nucleotide ribosomal RNA is filed under the name uncultured bacterium. RNAcentral's name for it is "bacterial SSU rRNA". It matches the Rfam family "Bacterial small subunit ribosomal RNA", at positions 8 to 350 of the family's 1533-position model. The record is from RNAcentral.